GUAGGCAGCGCGGUCACAGACCCUUCGCUCUGCGGACUUUUAAUCCGCAGGUCGUAGGUUCGAGUCCUACUGGGG
This 75-nucleotide transfer RNA is filed under the name Rhodococcus erythropolis. RNAcentral describes it as "tRNA-Lys (TTT) (tRNA-Lys-TTT-2-1)". The record is from RNAcentral. Lineage: Bacteria; Bacillati; Actinomycetota; Actinomycetes; Mycobacteriales; Nocardiaceae.